CCUACGGGACGCAGCAGUGGGGAAUAUUGCACAAUGGGGGAAACCCUGAUGCAGCGACGCCGCGUGGGCGACGAAGCGCUCCGGCGCGUAAAGCCCUGUCAGCAGGGAAGAACAAAGACAGUACCUGACCAAGAAGCCCCGGCUAACUACGUGCCAGCAGCCGCGGUAAUACGUAGGGGGCAAGCGUUAUCCGGAUUCAUUGGGCGUAAAGCGCGCGUAGGCGGCUGCCUAAGCGGAACCUCUAACCCCGGGGCUCAACCUCGGGCCGGGUUCCGAACUGGGCGGCUCGAGUGCGGUAGAGGAGG
This 305-nucleotide ribosomal RNA is filed under the name uncultured bacterium. RNAcentral describes it as "bacterial SSU rRNA". It matches the Rfam family "Bacterial small subunit ribosomal RNA", at positions 338 to 660 of the family's 1533-position model. The record is from RNAcentral.